This 283-nucleotide long non-coding RNA is filed under the name Lathyrus oleraceus (garden pea). RNAcentral's name for it is "Pisum sativum (pea) long non-coding RNA (PSAT_LNC023163)". The record is from RNAcentral. Lineage: Eukaryota; Viridiplantae; Streptophyta; Magnoliopsida; Fabales; Fabaceae.
UAAAUAGCCAAGUCACUUAACAGAACGCGGUCGUUUGGGGCAAUGAAAGGAAAUAAUGUGAUUGGUUGUUAUGGGCCAACAGUGCCAUGCACGUGAAUUCUGGGUAACAAAACAUGAACUAGGGUUUCAUGAACAGCAACCAACUUCAUCUUCUUCCCUAAAUCGAUUCCAACGGAAUUUUUCCAGAAAUUACAAUUGGGUACACCAAUCGACUCAGCAAGCAACAAGAAACAUGAAUCCAACAACAAUUUCAACAAAAUCAAAUCACACAGCAUGAAUCGAG